UACGGGGGGGGCAAGCGUUGUUCGGAAUUACUGGGCGUAAAGGGCUUGUAGGUGGCCAACUAAGUCAGACGUGAAAUCCCUCGGCUUAACCGGGGAACUGCGUCUGAUACUGGAUGGCUUGAGUGUGGGAGAGGGAUGCGGAAUUCCAGGUGUAGCGGUGAAAUGCGCAGAUAUCCGAAGGAACACCGGUGGCGAAGGCGGCUUCCUGGACCGACACUGACGCUGAGGCGCGAAAGCUAGGGGAGCAAACGGG
This 253-nucleotide ribosomal RNA is filed under the name uncultured bacterium. RNAcentral's name for it is "partial 16S ribosomal RNA". It matches the Rfam family "Bacterial small subunit ribosomal RNA", at positions 524 to 776 of the family's 1533-position model. The record is from RNAcentral.